UUAUUAAACAUCGGGAGCUUGAUGAACAGGCUGAGAGUACGACUAAUGUCGUAGACCGAUUGAACCUGUUGGGUAAUGCCAGCGCAGGGAAUGUUAUUUUAGUCAAUA
This 108-nucleotide non-coding RNA is filed under the name Desulfosporosinus lacus. Its description in RNAcentral is "TPP sequence". It matches the Rfam family "TPP riboswitch aptamer (THI element)". From Rfam's summary of the family: Vitamin B(1) in its active form thiamin pyrophosphate (TPP) is an essential coenzyme that is synthesised by coupling of pyrimidine and thiazole moieties in bacteria. The record is from RNAcentral. Lineage: Bacteria; Bacillati; Bacillota; Clostridia; Eubacteriales; Desulfitobacteriaceae.